RNAcentral lists this ribosomal RNA (253 nucleotides) under uncultured bacterium. RNAcentral describes it as "partial 16S ribosomal RNA". It matches the Rfam family "Bacterial small subunit ribosomal RNA", at positions 524 to 776 of the family's 1533-position model. The record is from RNAcentral.
UACGUAGGGCGCAAGCGUUGUCCGGAAUUAUUGGGCGUAAAGAGCUCGCAGGCGGUCUGUCGCGUCUGUUGUGAAAACUCGAGGCUCAACCUCGGACUUGCAGUGGAUACGGGCAGACUAGAGUGCGGUAGAGGAGAGUGGAAUUCCUGGUGUAGCGGUGGAAUGCGCAGAUAUCAGGAGGAACACCGAUGGCGAAGGCAGGUCUCUGGGCCGCAACUGACGCUGAGGAGCGAAAGCGUGGGGAGCGAACAGG